UAUUGACCUCGGGGGAGCCCUUUGUGGCUGAGAGGGAUGUACUGUUACAUCCGACCCCUCGAACCUGAUCCGGGUAAUGCCGGCGUAGGGAGAUGGUGCAAGGCAAAA
This 108-nucleotide non-coding RNA is filed under the name Caldisericum exile AZM16c01. Its description in RNAcentral is "TPP riboswitch aptamer (THI element)". It matches the Rfam family "TPP riboswitch aptamer (THI element)". Rfam says of the family: Vitamin B(1) in its active form thiamin pyrophosphate (TPP) is an essential coenzyme that is synthesised by coupling of pyrimidine and thiazole moieties in bacteria. The previously detected thiamin-regulatory element, thi box was extended, resulting in a new, highly conserved RNA secondary structure, the THI element, which is widely distributed in eubacteria and also occurs in some archaea. Analysis of operon structures identified a large number of new candidate thiamin-regulated genes, mostly transporters, in various prokaryotic organisms. Lineage: Bacteria; Pseudomonadati; Caldisericota; Caldisericia; Caldisericales; Caldisericaceae. RNAcentral also lists the same sequence under 1 other name. The record is from Rfam by way of RNAcentral.